Molecule: non-coding RNA, 75 nt
Organism: Myotis brandtii (Brandt's bat)
Lineage: Eukaryota; Metazoa; Chordata; Mammalia; Chiroptera; Vespertilionidae
Source: Rfam
GGCGGUUCUUGGGUGACACACCCCGGAAUCGGGCUCCCUCCUCUCUGGUUCCACGUGCAUCACCCGAGAACUGUU